UACGAAGGUGGCUAGCGUUGUUCGGAAUCACUGGGCGUAAAGCGCACGCAGGCGGAUUGAUAAGUCGGGGGUGAAAUCCCGGGGCUCAACCUCGGAAUUGCCUUCGAUACUGUCUGUCUUGAGUCCGGGAGAGGUGAGUGGAAUUCCUAGUGUAGAGGUGAAGUUCGUAGAUAUUAGGAAGAACACCAGUGGCGAAGGCGGCUCACUGGCCCGGUACUGACGCUCAUGUGCGAAAGCGUGGGGAGCAAACAGG
RNAcentral lists this ribosomal RNA (253 nucleotides) under uncultured bacterium. RNAcentral describes it as "partial 16S ribosomal RNA". It matches the Rfam family "Bacterial small subunit ribosomal RNA", at positions 524 to 776 of the family's 1533-position model. The record is from RNAcentral.